GCCUCUAUAGCUCAGUCCGGCCAGAGCAGCGAGCUUUUACCUCGCGGGUCUUCGGUUCAAAUCCGAAUGGGGGCACC
RNAcentral lists this transfer RNA (77 nucleotides) under Arthrobacter phage Atuin. Its description in RNAcentral is "tRNA-Lys". It matches the Rfam family "tRNA". From Rfam's summary of the family: Transfer RNA (tRNA) molecules are approximately 80 nucleotides in length. Their secondary structure includes four short double-helical elements and three loops (D, anti-codon, and T loops). Lineage: Duplodnaviria; Heunggongvirae; Uroviricota; Caudoviricetes. The record is from RNAcentral.